UACAGAGGCCCCAAGCGUUACUGAGAAUCACUGGGUUUAAAGGGUGCGUAGGUGGCGCGUUAAGUCCGUUGUGAAAGCCCUGGGCUCAACCCAGGAACUGCUUCGGAUACUGGCGCGCUUGAGGCUAGUAGAGGUCACUGGAACUGACGGUGGAGCGGUGAAAUGCGUAGAUAUCGUCAGGAACGCCAAUGGUGAAGACAGGUGACUGGGCUAGAUCUGACACUGAGGCACGAAAGCGUGGGGAUCAAACGGGA
This 254-nucleotide ribosomal RNA is filed under the name uncultured bacterium. RNAcentral describes it as "partial 16S ribosomal RNA". It matches the Rfam family "Bacterial small subunit ribosomal RNA", at positions 524 to 777 of the family's 1533-position model. The record is from RNAcentral.